This 551-nucleotide long non-coding RNA is filed under the name Malus domestica (apple). Its description in RNAcentral is "long non-coding RNA (MDOM_LNC004394)". Lineage: Eukaryota; Viridiplantae; Streptophyta; Magnoliopsida; Rosales; Rosaceae. The record is from RNAcentral.
UCUGAGAUCGGCCCUCGUGGUCUCUGAGCAGCCCAGCUUUUGAGAAAGCGAGCGCCUCUUCGAUUGAUUCGGAGAACGAUGCCUCAUCGAUUUUUGAGAAAGCAAUCAUGCUGGGGGUCUGGCUCUCGAAGAUUAGGGGAGCAGUGUCUCUUCAAUUUUUGAGAAAGUAAUCAUGUUGGGAGUCUGGCUCUCGAGAUUCGGAGGGCGGUGCCUCUUCGAUUUUGGAGCAAGCAAUCUUGUUGGGAGUGUUUUCUCGAAUGUGAGUAAAGGUUGGGCAUGUUUGCUAGUCUACCUUGCCACGAAGCACAGAGGUUGACACACAGGGACUUUCCAAUUAUCCAGCAAUGGUACUGUUCCUUUACCCUCUCUUCGAUUUUUAAGAAAGUAGUCAUGUUGGGAGUCUGGCUCUCGAGAUUCGGAGGACGGUGCCUCUUCGAUUUUGGAGCAAGCAAUCUUAUUGGGAGUGUUUUCUCGAAUGUGAGUAAAGGUUGGGCAUGUUUGCUAGUCUACCUUGCCACGAAGCACAGAGGUUGACACACAGGGACUUUCCA